AAGGGAAAAUAGGUGGAAAUUCAAAAAUCAAGUGAAAAAAGGUGGUGAGUCAAUUGUUUCGGGUAAGAGACUGCACCCGAGGGCGGAAGAUAGGAGUAUUUCUACUCCUAAUACUGCUCGGGGAAUUCCAUAGUUAGCUGACUUUGACAAGGACCU
Theobroma cacao (cacao) is the source of this 156-nucleotide non-coding RNA. The record is from RefSeq and is a predicted model, not a curated record. Lineage: Eukaryota; Viridiplantae; Streptophyta; Magnoliopsida; Malvales; Malvaceae.